RNAcentral lists this non-coding RNA (71 nucleotides) under Pseudomonas protegens CHA0. Its description in RNAcentral is "narK RNA". It matches the Rfam family "narK RNA". The record is from RNAcentral. Lineage: Bacteria; Pseudomonadati; Pseudomonadota; Gammaproteobacteria; Pseudomonadales; Pseudomonadaceae.
GGCGCGGCUCUUGCUAUCAGAUCCACACCGGUAACCAACGGCGGUUGCCCCACCUACGACAAAGACGUCGC